This 103-nucleotide small nuclear RNA is filed under the name Chinchilla lanigera (long-tailed chinchilla). The record is from RNAcentral. Lineage: Eukaryota; Metazoa; Chordata; Mammalia; Rodentia; Chinchillidae.
GUACUCCCUUCGGCAGCACACGUAUAAAAUCGGAAUGAUACAGAGGUUAGUGUGGCCCCUGUACAAGGGUGACAUGGAAAUUCGUGAAACAUUCCAAGUUAAU